AUGAACGCUAGCGACAGGCCUAACACAUGCAAGUCGAGGGGCAGCACAAGGAGCAAUCUGAGGUGGCGACCGGCGCACGGGUGAGUAACACGUAUGCAACCUGCCUGUAAGCGGGGAAUAACCCGUUGAAAGACGGACUAAUACCGCAUAAUACUAAAUUACUGCAUGGUAAUUUAUUUUAAACAUUUAUGGCUUACAGAUGGGCAUGCGCAUGAUUAGCUAGUUGGAGAGGUAACGGCUCCCCAAGGCAACGAUCAUUAGGGGUUCUGAGAGGAAGGUCCCCCACACUGGUACUGAGACACGGACCAGACUCCUACGGGAGGCAGCAGUGAGGAAUAUUGGUCAAUGGACGAGAGUCUGAACCAGCCAAGUCGCGUGCAGGAAGAAUGUCCCUAUGGAUUGUAAACUGCUUUUGCAGGGGAAUAAAGUGCAUCACGUGUGAUGUUUUGUAUGUACUCUGCGAAUAAGGAUCGGCUAACUCCGUGCCAGCCGCAGC
Molecule: ribosomal RNA, 496 nt
Filed under: uncultured bacterium
Lineage: Bacteria
Description: bacterial SSU rRNA
Rfam family: Bacterial small subunit ribosomal RNA
Source: RNAcentral